Molecule: ribosomal RNA, 468 nt
Filed under: uncultured bacterium
Lineage: Bacteria
Description: partial 16S ribosomal RNA
Rfam family: Bacterial small subunit ribosomal RNA
Source: RNAcentral
GACGAACGCUGGCGGCGUGCUUAACACAUGCAAGUCGAACGGAAAGGCCCUGCUUUUGUGGGGUGCUCGAGUGGCGAACGGGUGAGUAACACGUGAGUAACCUGCCCUUUACUUUGGGAUAACUUCAGGAAACUGGGGCUAAUACCGGAUAGGAGCUCCUGCUGCAUGGUGGGGGUUGGAAAGUUUCGGCGGUUGGGGAUGGACUCGCGGCUUAUCAGCUUGUUGGUGGGGUAGUGGCUUACCAAGGCUUUGACGGGUAGCCGGCCUGAGAGGGUGAACGGCCACAUUGGGACUGAGAUACGGCCCAGACUCCUACGGGAGGCAGCAGUGGGGAAUAUUGCACAAUGGGCGGAAGCCUGAUGCAGCAACGCCGCGUGCGGGAUGAAGGCCUUCGGGUUGUAAACCGCUUUCGCCUGUGACGAAGCGUGAGUGACGGUAAUGGGUAAAGAAGCACCGGCUAACUACGUG